UUUUCUUUUAGCCCCAAAUGCUAAUGUGCUAUUACACCAUUUUAAUUUUGCAAAUUAGAAGUUAAAACUAUUUUCGAAUCUUAAUUUCAAUGUAUUUUUACUUUUCCUCGACAAGGAAAAAAAUAUUUUGAUAAAUUUUUUCUUUUUUAAAUUUCUUUAGUUUCCUUUCGUACUAUAAAGAAAAUAAUUUAUUUUUUUUUAACUAAAAGAUUUAAACCAACCUGGCUCACGCCGGUUUGAACUCAAAUCACGUAGAGUUAUAUUUUUGGACGAACAGUCCAUAAUUAGUGCAUUCUUCUGCAAUUAAUUGAAAAAAAAUUUUUCUAAUUUUCUCUGGUUCAACAUCGAGGUCAUACUCUUUUCUUAGAAUUUGGUCUUCUAUGAAAAUAUUAUGCUGUUAUCCCUUUAGUAUCAUUUCCUAUUAACUGUUAAAAUAGUUAUUAUUCUCAGAAAAUAAGAAAAUUAUAUUCUCUGUUGCCCCAACAAUUAUUUUUUUAUUUUGAUAUAACAAAAAAAUAAAGAUUAAAGGGUCUUAUCGUCUUUUUAUAUUUUGGAUGAGAUUUAACAUCCAACUUAUUUUUUACUAUAUUUAUAGAAAAUUUUUCCCGCGUUAACCCAUUCAGACAAUCCGCCAAUUAAGCGGCUAGUAAUUAUGCUACCUUAGCAAAGAAUUUGGCUUUUUUAAUUUUUUUAAUAUUUAUGUGAGCAGGGCCUACUUCUAAUCUUUUUAAAUUAAAGUUGAAGAAAUGUUUUUGUUAAACAGUCGGGGACUGAUUUCUGUUUUGAAUUCUUUUAAAUAAAUUUUUUUUCUCUAAAGAUUAUUUCUUUUGAAAAUUGAUCUAUAUAUCCUGUUUUUUCCAAAUUUUUUUCUUUUCCAAAAUUUUUGAAAUUAAUUUUUUUUCUGUAUUUUUCCUAAUUUCAAUAUCCUCUUUGAUAUUGUGAUUUUUUUGUUUACUUCCUAAGAAUUGAUCAAUUUACCAGUUUUUUAGGUCCGAUUUUCUUUUUUAGAACUUUUUAUUUUAAAUCCUCUUUAUUACGAGGAAAAAAAAAAAUUGUUGGAUCACCUAAAUUCGGGUCCUUUAGUCGUAAUACAAAAAGAAUUUUUUUUUAAUAAUUUUAUUUUUUUUUCGCAGUACGUGUAAAAUACUUCUAUUUUUCGUUUUGAUUUACAGUCAUUUUUUCAUUUAACAGAUGAACUUAUUUUCAAUAAAUUUGAUUUGAAAUCAAUGCUGUCUUAGUCUCCAAAACUAAAAUUUUAGCUUUUUACAAGAAAGCGGAUU
Molecule: ribosomal RNA, 1280 nt
Filed under: Spadella cephaloptera
Lineage: Eukaryota; Metazoa; Chaetognatha; Sagittoidea; Phragmophora; Spadellidae
Description: 16S ribosomal RNA
Source: RNAcentral